UAUAUUGUCGGACUACAUCGUGAACAAUGGAAUAUUACAGUUGGAAUAUUAAACCUUAUAUUGAUGGGGAAAUUACUACCAAAAAAUGAUGAAGUAUAAAAGUUGAAUAGAUACAUUGAAGAUACUUCCCAGCGUAGAAUGAAAUACUAGGACAAAUGACAAAAACGUACUCUGCAAACAGAUGCAAUUACUUUCUUGCAUGAUACAUCUGGAAAUAUGUUUAAGGUGAAAGAAAUAUUAAACCUUAU
Molecule: long non-coding RNA, 248 nt
Organism: Osmia bicornis bicornis
Lineage: Eukaryota; Metazoa; Arthropoda; Insecta; Hymenoptera; Megachilidae
Exons: 3
Source: RefSeq, a predicted model, not a curated record